AUUGAACGCUGGCGGCAGGCCUAACACAUGCAAGUCGAACGAGUGGCGGACGGGUGAGUAAUGUCUGGGAAACUGCCUGCUGGAGGGGUAUCACUACUGGAAACGGUAGCUAAUACCGCAUACCAUCGGAUGUGCCCAGAUGGGAUUAGCUAGUCGGUGGGGUAAAGGCUCACCUAGGCGACGAUCCCUAGCUGGUCUGAGAGGAUGACAAGCCACACGGGAACUGAGACACGGGCCAGACUCCUACGGGAGGCAGCAGGGGGGAAUAUGGCACAAUGGGCGCAAGACUGAUGCAGCCAUGCCGCGUGGAUGAAGAAGGCCUUCGGGUUGUAAAGUACUUUCAGCGGGGAGGCGGUACCCGCAGAAGAAGCACCGGCUAACUCCGUGCCAGCCGCCGCGGUAAUAC
RNAcentral lists this ribosomal RNA (406 nucleotides) under uncultured bacterium. RNAcentral's name for it is "partial 16S ribosomal RNA". It matches the Rfam family "Bacterial small subunit ribosomal RNA", at positions 29 to 526 of the family's 1533-position model. The record is from RNAcentral.